Molecule: ribosomal RNA, 465 nt
Filed under: uncultured bacterium
Lineage: Bacteria
Description: bacterial SSU rRNA
Rfam family: Bacterial small subunit ribosomal RNA
Source: RNAcentral
GAUGAACGCUGGCGGCGUGCCUAAUACAUGCAAGUCGAACGGAGCUAAACAGCAAUGGAUAGCUUAGUGGCGAACGGGUGAGAAACGCGUUGGUGACCUGCCCUAAAGCGGGGGAUAACAGAUCGAAAGGUUUGCUAAUACCGCGUAAUGUGAUCGAGGUUAGGUGCUUGAUCAAGGAAGCUGAGAAGCGCUUUAGGAGGGACCUGCGUCCCAUCAGCUAGUUGGUGAGGUAGAGGCUCACCAAGGCGAUGACGGGUAGGGGACCUGAGAGGGUGACCCCCCACAAUGGAACUGAAACACGGUCCAUACACCUACGGGUGGCAGCAGUAGGGGAUAUUGGGAAUGGGCGGAAGCCUGACCCAGCAACGCCGCGUGAACGAUGAAGGCCUUCGGGUUGUAAAGUUCUUUUGUACUGGGAAGAGAGAGGACGGUACCAGUCGAAUAAAGUCUCGGCUAACUAACGUG